Molecule: ribosomal RNA, 492 nt
Filed under: uncultured bacterium
Lineage: Bacteria
Description: partial 16S ribosomal RNA
Rfam family: Bacterial small subunit ribosomal RNA
Source: RNAcentral
AUUGAACGCUGGCGGCAGGCUUAACACAUGCAAGUCGAGCGGUAGCACAAGAAGGCUUGCUCCCUGGGUGUCGCGAGUCGCACGGGGGUGUAAUAUAUGUCAGACUCCCUUUUGGCGUGGGGUAACUCGUGGGGACGGUUACUAUUACCGCACAUAGUCGCAAGGCCAAAAAGGGGGACCUUCUGGGACCUUGCGCGAAGAUGUGAGCAGAUGUCGGAAUAGCUAGUUGGGGGGGUAAAGGCACACCGAGGCGACGAUCCCUAGCUGGUCUGAGAGGAUGAUCAGCCACACUGGAACUGAGACACGGUCCAGACUCCUACGGGAGGCAGCAGUGGGGAAUAUUGCACAAUGGGCGCAAGCCUGAUGCAGCCAUGCCGCGUGGGUGAAGAAGGCCUUCGGGUUGUAAAGCACUUUUGGUGAGGAGGAAGGGGAUCAACUUAAUACGUUGAUGAACUGACGUUACCCGAAGAAGAAGCACCGGCUAACUUCGUG